CACAAUAUUCGUGUUAUAGGAACGGGCAAUAAUGUGCAGACAACUGAUGGUUCUCCUGGUGGUGGUGGCGGUGAUGCUGGGACUCGCCUAUGCCUUCCCCAGCGUUACCCCUGCCAGCCUCCCUGCCGGCGUAUCUUCUCGAGACUGCCCCAACUUCCCCUUUUUCCCCUGCACCCCUCCUGCCCAAGCUGCUCAGCCUGCUAACCCCUCUGGAGUGACCUGUUUCAACUUCCCCUUCUUCCCUUGCUAAGCCAUUUUAUACAUGUUGUAUUGUUUUUUUUGUUUGUUUGUUUUUUUCUUCUUCUGAUUGUCAUUGUGAUACUUUUUGUUUAUAAGUGUGUGUGUAUUGUUGAUGUCUGACAUCACGUCAAGCAAGAAAAUGAUUUUUCGUAAGAGAAAAGAAAAGAAAAACGAAAUUAUAGAGAAUAGCAAGUGAUUAUCACAUGAUAUUUGAUACAAAGACUUUGUUGAUUCUUACUCAUUGAGCAGAAGUUCCUUUGUUUAGCUUUUGUCAUUUCUUUAUUAUUUGUUUUAUCACUUCCUAACUGCGAUUUUUUUCUUUCUUUGAAUGUACUUCAAAUAUAUUUUUGCCUGACUGUCAUACGAGUAAUUCCUGAUGGAAUUCACAAUAAAACAGUAAUACAAUAAAUGAUAACAAACACA
RNAcentral lists this long non-coding RNA (663 nucleotides) under Penaeus japonicus. Its description in RNAcentral is "uncharacterized LOC122254200". The record is from RNAcentral. Lineage: Eukaryota; Metazoa; Arthropoda; Malacostraca; Decapoda; Penaeidae.